Molecule: long non-coding RNA, 108 nt
Organism: Thalassophryne amazonica
Lineage: Eukaryota; Metazoa; Chordata; Actinopteri; Batrachoidiformes; Batrachoididae
Exons: 3
Source: RefSeq, a predicted model, not a curated record
AACCAUAUAUGCAGAGUAAUAUUAUGACAAUCACCAUGCCAAAUUUAGUGUUUGUAUCACCAAAUGCACAUUUUUUCCAUUAUCUGCUCCACUAGCUUAGAGAUCAAG